Molecule: ribosomal RNA, 459 nt
Filed under: uncultured bacterium
Lineage: Bacteria
Description: partial 16S ribosomal RNA
Rfam family: Bacterial small subunit ribosomal RNA
Source: RNAcentral
CCUACGGGGGGCUGCAGUGAGGAAUAUUGGUCAAUGGGAGGAAUCCUGAACCAGCCAUGCCGCGUGAAGGACGAAGGCUCUGCGAGUUGUAAACUGCUUUUGUACCGGGGUAAAAUGCUCUACGAGUAGGCUUAUGAGAGUACGGUACGAAUACGGAUCGGCUAACUCCGUGCCAGCAGCCGCGGUAAUACGGAGGAUCCGAGCGUUAUCCGGAUUCAUUGGGUUUACAGGGUGCGCAGGCGGUUUUUUAAGUCAGCGGUCAAAUCGUGGGGCUCAACCCCAGCCAGCCGUUGAAACUGGGGGUCUAGAGUGGGCGAGAGGUAUGCGGAAUGCGUGGUGUAGCGGUGAAAUGCAUAGAUAUCGCGCAGAACCCCGAUUGCGAAGGCAGCAUACCGGUGCACAACUGACGCUCAGGCACGAAAGCGUGGGUAUCGAACAGGAUUAGAUACCCCGAUAGUC